GUCCACGCCGUAAACGAUGGAUACUUGGUGUUGGAGGUAUUGACCCCUUCAGUGCCGAAGCUAACGCGUUAAGUAUCCCGCCUGGGGAGUACGGUCGCAAGAUUAAAACUCAAAGAAAUUGACGGGGCCCGCACAAGCGGUGGAGCAUGUGGUUCAAUUCGAUGCAACGCGAAAAACCUUACCUGGGCUCGAAAUGUAGAGGAAGUUAGCAGAGAUGUUAACGCCUUCGGGUCUCUAUAUAGGUGCUGCAUGGCUGUCGU
This 260-nucleotide ribosomal RNA is filed under the name uncultured bacterium. Its description in RNAcentral is "partial 16S ribosomal RNA". It matches the Rfam family "Bacterial small subunit ribosomal RNA", at positions 793 to 1055 of the family's 1533-position model. The record is from RNAcentral.